This 486-nucleotide ribosomal RNA is filed under the name uncultured bacterium. RNAcentral's name for it is "partial 16S ribosomal RNA". It matches the Rfam family "Bacterial small subunit ribosomal RNA", at positions 28 to 523 of the family's 1533-position model. The record is from RNAcentral.
GAUGAACGCUGGCGGCGUGCUUAACACAUGCAAGUCGAACGGAAAGGCCUCAGCUUGCUGGGGUACUCGAGUGGCGAACGGGUGAGUAACACGUGGGUGAUCUGCCCUGUACUUUGGGAUAAGCUUGGGAAACUGGGUCUAAUACCGAAUAUGACCACUUCUUGGAUGUUGUGGUGGAAAGCUUUUGCGGUGUGGGAUGAGCCUGCGGCCUAUCAGCUUGUUGGUGGGGUAAUGGCCUACCAAGGCGGCGACGGGUAUCCGGGCUGAGAGGGUGUACGGACACAGUGGGACUGUGAUACGGCCCAGACUCCUACGGGAGGCAGCAGUGGGGAAUAUUGCACAAUGGGCGUAAGCCUGAUGCAGCGGCGCCGCGUGGGGGAUGAAGGCCUUCGGGUUGUAAACUCCUUUCGCGAUCGACGAAGCCACUUGUGGUGACGGUAGGUAGAUAAGAAGCACCGGCUAACUACGUGCCAGCCGCCGCCGUAA